Molecule: ribosomal RNA, 252 nt
Filed under: uncultured bacterium
Lineage: Bacteria
Description: partial 16S ribosomal RNA
Rfam family: Bacterial small subunit ribosomal RNA
Source: RNAcentral
UACGUAAGGUCCGAGCGUUGUCCGGAAUCAUUGGGCGUAAAGGGUACGUAGGCGGAUAAUCAAGUUAGAAGUGAAAUCCUAUAGCUCAACUAUAGUAAGCUUUUAAAACUGCUCAUCUUGAGGUAUGGAAGGGAAAGUGGAAUUCCUAGUGUAGCGGUGAAAUGCGUAGAGAUUAGGAGGAAUACCGGUGGCGAAGGCGACUUUCUGGCCAUAAACUGACGCUGAGGGACGAAAGCGAGGGGAGCAAAUGGG